Molecule: ribosomal RNA, 1626 nt
Filed under: Acidimicrobiales bacterium
Lineage: Bacteria; Bacillati; Actinomycetota; Acidimicrobiia; Acidimicrobiales
Description: partial 23S ribosomal RNA
Rfam family: Bacterial large subunit ribosomal RNA
Source: RNAcentral
AGGCGAGGCCGAUAGGCGUAGUCGAUGCACAACCGGUUGAUAUUCCGGUACCACCGCGUGCGCGCCCAGUCCAAAAUGCGGUUGCUAAGGGGCUGUCCUCCCUUCGGGGAACGACGAACCGACCCACCGCACCGAGGACAGCAAUGAGGGGACGCAGGAGGAUAGGUGAACCCAGGCGAUGGUAGACCUGGGGUAAGCGAGUAGGACGGGGACUAGGUAAGUCCGGGCCCCAUAAAGUCCGAGACGCGAUGCCGAGCCGCUACAGGCGAAGUCAUUGAUUCCAUGCUGCCUAGAAAAGCCUCUAGCGAGUUCACGUGGUGCCCGUACCUAAACCAACACAGGUAGGCAGGUAGAGCAUACUCAGGCGAACGGGAGAACUGUGGUUAAGGAACUCGGCAAAUUGCAUCCGUAACUUCGGGAGAAGGAUGACCCUGCGAUGGUGACGGCACUAGCUGCCCGAGCCGGAGAGGGUGGCACAAAAUAGGGGAAAGCGACUGUUUACUAAAAACACAGCAGCGUGCGAAGUCGUAAGACCAUGUAUACGCUGUGACGCCUGCCCGGUGCCGGAAGGUUACGGGGAACGGUUAGCUCUUCGGAGCGAAGCUGUGAACCUAAGCCCCGGUAAACGGCGGCCGUAACUAUAACGGUCCUAAGGUAGCGAAAUUCCUUGUCGGGUAAGUUCCGACCUGCACGAAUGGCGUAACGACUUCCCUACUGUCUCAACCAUAGACCCAGCGAAAUUGAAGUACGAGUAAAGAUGCUCGUUAGCUACAGAAGGACGGAAAGACCCCGUGGACCUUUACUAUAACUUGGUAUUGGGUUGUGGCACGUGUUGUGUAGGAUAGGUCGGAGACUAGGAAGCGUGUGCGCCAGCAUGCGUGGAGUCACCCUUGAAAUACGACCCUGCUCAUGUCGGAACUCUAACCUAGGACCCUGAUCGGGUUCGGGAACAGUGCCAGGCGGGUAGUUUGACUGGGGCGGUCGCCUCCCAAAUGGUAACGGAGGCGCCCAAAGGUUCCCUCAGACUGGUUGGCAAUCAGUCGUCGAGUGCAAUGGCACAAGGGAGCUUGACUGUGAGACAUACAGGUCGAGCAGGUGCGAAAGCAGGGCAUAGUGAUCCAGCGAUUGCGUGUGGAAGCGUCGUUGCUCAACGGAUAAAAGGUACCCCGGGGAUAACAGGCUCAUCUUCCCCAAGAGUCCAUAUCGACGGGAAGGUUUGGCACCUCGAUGUCGGCUCAUCGCAUCCUGGGGCUGAAGCAGGUCCCAAGGGUUGGGCUGUUCGCCCAUUAAAGCGGUACGCGAGCUGGGUUUAGAACGUCGUGAGACAGUUCGGUCCCUAUCCUCUGUGGCCGUAGGAGAUUUGAGGAAAGCUGUCCGUAGUACGAGAGGACCCGGAUGGACGCAGCUCUCGUGUGCCAGUUGUUCCGCCAGGAGCACGGCUGGUUGGCGACCUGCGGAAGGGAUAAGCGCUGAAAGCAUCUAAGCGCGAAGCCUGUUCCAAGAUGAGAUCUCCCACUGGUACAACCAGGUAAGGCCCGUGGCAGAUAACCACGUUGAUAGGCCGGAUGUGUACGCACAGCAAUGUGUUCAGCAGACCGGUACUAAUCGGCCGAGGGCUUGGUAUCG